RNAcentral lists this ribosomal RNA (375 nucleotides) under Triticum aestivum (bread wheat). Its description in RNAcentral is "partial small subunit ribosomal RNA". Lineage: Eukaryota; Viridiplantae; Streptophyta; Magnoliopsida; Poales; Poaceae. The record is from RNAcentral.
AUGAUGACAAUUACAUUGGAGAAUUUGCCUUCUAUGCCUGCUGUUGUCAGAACAACUAUUGGAAGUUUGCUUAUACUUUGCCACAUAAUCUCUUUAGCAUCAGUAUCUACAGACGUUCCUAUGGUGUUUCCAGAAGCACUCCUCCAGCAGAUACUGAUAUCCAUGGUACAUCCAGACGCAGACACUCGUGCGGGGGCGCACCACAUAUUUUCUGCUGUAAUUGUCCAGGGCCCAAGCCAUCAGAGGGAAGAGCAAAGGCACAGCGCCUUAGCCUACCAUAUCUGCCACUCAUUCUACAUCCGACGCACAGGAUUGACUGAGUGCAAAACACACCCAGACUUGUGUGUUUCAUCAGGAAAGUCUUGGAUUUGUUGA